UACGUAGGGUGCGAGCGUUGUCCGGAAUUAUUGGGCGUAAAGAGCUCGUAGGCGGUGUGUCGCGUCGGCCGUGAAAACCUGCAGCUUAACUGUGGGCGUGCGGUCGAUACGGGCAUCACUGGAGUUCGGCAGGGGAGACUGGAAUUCCUGGUGUAGCGGUGAAAUGCGCAGAUAUCAGGAGGAACACCGGUGGCGAAGGCGGGUUUCUGGGCCGAUACUGACGCUGAGGAGCGAAAGCGUGGGGAGCGAACAGG
Molecule: ribosomal RNA, 254 nt
Filed under: uncultured bacterium
Lineage: Bacteria
Description: partial 16S ribosomal RNA
Rfam family: Bacterial small subunit ribosomal RNA
Source: RNAcentral